UCGAUUAUGGUAUAAUGGCUAACAUUGCCGCCUCUCAAUCUUCAUCGUAAACGCGGCAGCUCAGGGUUCGAUUCCCUGUAAUCGAA
Crucibulum laeve is the source of this 86-nucleotide non-coding RNA. The record is from the annotation of a GenBank genome assembly. Lineage: Eukaryota; Fungi; Basidiomycota; Agaricomycetes; Agaricales; Nidulariaceae.